Molecule: ribosomal RNA, 484 nt
Filed under: uncultured bacterium
Lineage: Bacteria
Description: bacterial SSU rRNA
Rfam family: Bacterial small subunit ribosomal RNA
Source: RNAcentral
UUGAACGCUGGCGGCAUGCCUUACACAUGCAAGUCGAACGGCAGCACGGGAGCAAUCCUGGUGGCGAGUGGGCGAACGGGUGAGUAAUAUAUCGGAACGUGCCCGGUCGUGGGGGAUAACGUAGCGAAAGCUACGCUAAUACCGCAUACGAUCUAUGGAUGAAAGCGGGGGAUCGCAAGACCUCGCGCGAUUGGAGCGGCCGAUAUCAGAUUAGGUAGUUGGUGAGGUAAAGGCUCACCAAGCCGACGAUCUGUAGCUGGUCUGAGAGGACGACCAGCCACACUGGGACUGAGACACGGCCCAGACUCCUACGGGAGGCAGCAGUGGGGAAUUUUGGACAAUGGGCGCAAGCCUGAUCCAGCAAUGCCGCGUGCAGGAUGAAGGCCUUCGGGUUGUAAACUGCUUUUGUACGGAACGAAACGGUGAGCUCUAAUACAGUUUGCUAAUGACGGUACCGUAAGAAUAAGCACCGGCUAACUACGUG